CAACUUAUCUAUGUUUUCUUUCCUUCAACUUUCAGUACUAGUACUAGGACUAGGAUUUCUGGUCUUCUUUAUUUGAUGUUAGUAUAUUUACAUUCUCUUUGUUGAAGCACUUUAAUGUGUGUUUUGUUCAUGUCUGUCCACUUUAAUCUCUCUCUUUCCUUCCAUUACACUGGAAAGAGGCCCAGGAUUUGUGAAAGCGGUGGGGUAUGAGGAAGCAUUCACUUGAAUAAAUAUUUAAAUGAGGAAGCACCAACCACCCUCUAUAUGAGAUGUUAAUGUGAAAGUAAUACAACUCUUGCUGGCUGCCAGUGGAGAUCCUCAAUGUAGAAGAUGAAGAUUUUGAAGAUUAAAGAACAAGAUCAUGUGAAAGAUAAUGUGGAGCUUGCA
Solanum tuberosum (potato) is the source of this 387-nucleotide long non-coding RNA. RefSeq lists it as uncharacterized. NCBI's taxonomy places the organism in Eukaryota, Viridiplantae, Streptophyta, Magnoliopsida, Solanales, Solanaceae. The record is from RefSeq and is a predicted model, not a curated record. The transcript has 2 exons.